RNAcentral lists this transfer RNA (88 nucleotides) under Ophiognomonia clavigignenti-juglandacearum. RNAcentral's name for it is "tRNA-Ser". The record is from RNAcentral. Lineage: Eukaryota; Fungi; Ascomycota; Sordariomycetes; Diaporthales; Gnomoniaceae.
AGAGAAUUGACCGAGUGGUUUAAGGUGGUAAGCUUGAGUCUUAUUUGAUUAUUAAUUAAUCACAUCCGUUCGAAUCGGAUAUUCUCUG